RNAcentral lists this ribosomal RNA (571 nucleotides) under Pholiota mixta. RNAcentral's name for it is "eukaryotic LSU rRNA". It matches the Rfam family "Eukaryotic large subunit ribosomal RNA", at positions 66 to 615 of the family's 3401-position model. Lineage: Eukaryota; Fungi; Basidiomycota; Agaricomycetes; Agaricales; Strophariaceae. The record is from RNAcentral.
UAACAAGGAUUCCCCUAGUAACUGCGAGUGAAGCGGGAAAAGCUCAAAUUAAAAUCUGGCGACCUUUGGCCGUCCGAGUUGUAAUCUAGAGAAGUGUUAUCCGCGCUGGACCGUGUACAAGUCUCCUGGAAUGGAGCGUCAUAGAGGGUGAGAAUCCCGUCUUUGACACGGACUGCCAGGGCUUUGUGAUGCGCUCUCAAAGAGUCGAGUUGUUUGGGAAUGCAGCUCAAAAUGGGUGGUAAAUUCCAUCUAAAGCUAAAUAUUGGCGAGAGACCGAUAGCGAACAAGUACCGUGAGGGAAAGAUGAAAAGAACUUUGGAAAGAGAGUUAAACAGUACGUGAAAUUGCUGAAAGGGAAACGCUUGAAGUCAGUCGCGUUGUCUGGGAAUCAACCUUGCUUUUGCUGGGCGUACUUUCCAGAUGACGGGCCAGCAUCAAUUUUGACCGUUGGAUAAAGGUUGGAGGAAUGUGGCAUCCUCGGAUGUGUUAUAGCCUCCAGCUGUAUACAACGGUUGGGAUUGAGGAACCCAGCACGCCGCAAGGCCGGGUACUUGUACCACGUUCGUGCUUA